GACGAACGCUGGCGGCGUGCUUAACACAUGCCAGUCGAACGAAGAGCGAUGGAAGCUUGCUUCUAUCAAUCUUAGUGGCGCACGGGUGAGUAACGCGUAAUCAACCUGCCCUUCAGAGGGGGACAACAGUUGGAAACGACUGCUAAUACCGCAUACGAUCUAAUCUCGGCAUCGAGGAUAGCUGAAAGGUGGCCUCUACAUGUAAGCUAUCACUGAAGGAGGGGAGUGGGUCUGAUUAGCUAGCUGGAGGGGUAACGGCCCACCAAGGCGAUGAUCAGUAGCCGGUCUGAGAGGAUGAACGGCCACAUUGGGACUGAGACACGGCCCAGACUCCUACGGGAGGCAGCAGUGGGGAAUCUUCCGCAAUGGACGAAAGUCUGACGGAGCAACGCCGCGUGAGUGAUGACGGCCUUCGGGUUGUAAAGCUCUGUUAAUCGGGACGAAAGGCCUUCUUGCGAAUAGUGAGAAGGAUUGACGGUACCGGAAUAGAAAGCCACGGCUAACUACGUG
This 510-nucleotide ribosomal RNA is filed under the name uncultured bacterium. RNAcentral's name for it is "partial 16S ribosomal RNA". It matches the Rfam family "Bacterial small subunit ribosomal RNA", at positions 28 to 507 of the family's 1533-position model. The record is from RNAcentral.